UUAUGUAGAAGAGGAGCACUACCCAGGUAGAUGAUUUGUGGAACCGCAAUUCCCAUACCAAUCAUUCAGGGGGAGUAGUGCCGAGGUAAGCCAAAGUUGUGGUUUUGGCUUGUCGGUUGACUUGGGUUGAAUCCCAUCAACUGUCAUCAGUGCCGUCUGGUGAAGAGCUUCUGAGGGU
RNAcentral lists this non-coding RNA (178 nucleotides) under Vibrio mytili. Its description in RNAcentral is "Lysine sequence". It matches the Rfam family "Lysine riboswitch aptamer". Rfam says of the family: Riboswitches are metabolite binding domains within certain messenger RNAs that serve as precision sensors for their corresponding targets. Allosteric rearrangement of mRNA structure is mediated by ligand binding, and this results in modulation of gene expression. Lineage: Bacteria; Pseudomonadati; Pseudomonadota; Gammaproteobacteria; Vibrionales; Vibrionaceae. The record is from RNAcentral.